CCCGCAGAGGCUUGGAAGUGAAGUUGCGCCCCUCCCAAGCCUCUGCGGUAGGAGG
RNAcentral lists this microRNA precursor (55 nucleotides) under Podarcis lilfordi (Lilford's wall lizard). Lineage: Eukaryota; Metazoa; Chordata; Lepidosauria; Squamata; Lacertidae. The record is from RNAcentral.